CAGGCCUAACACAUGCAAGUCGAGCGAGAAGCUCAUGACAGAAUCUUCGGAGGACGGAUUGAGUGGAAAGCGGCGGACGGGUGAGUAACGCGUGGGUAACCUGCCCUGUACAGAGGAAUAGCCAUUGGAAACGAUGAUUAAUGCCUCAUAAGACUACAGUAUCGCAUGAUACAGUAGCCAAAACUCCGGUGGUACAGGAUGGACCCGCGUUAGACUAGCUAGUUGGUAAGGUAAAGGCUUACCAAGGCGACGAUCUAUAGCCGACCUGAGAGGGUGAUCGGCCACACUGGAACUGAGACACGGUCCAGACUCCUACGGGAGGCAGCAGUGGGGAAUAUUGCACAAUGGGCGAAAGCCUGAUGCAGCAACGCCGCGUGAGCGAAGAAGGUCUACGGAUCGUAAAGCUCUGUCCUAUGGGAAGAACACAAUGACGGUACCAUAGGAGGAAGCCCCGGCUAACUACGUGCCAGCAGCCGCGGUAAUACGUAGGGGGCAAGCGUUAUCCGGAAUCACUGGGCGUAAAGGGUGCGUAGGCGGUUUCUCAAGCCAGAAGUGAAAGGCAAUGGCUCAACCAUUGUAAGCUUUUGGAACUGAGAGACUUGAGUGCAGGAGAGGAAAGUGGAAUUCCUAGUGUAGCGGUGAAAUGCGUAGAUAUUAGGAGGAACACCAGUGGCGAAGGCGACUUUCUGGACUGUAACUGACGCUGAGGCACGAAAGCGUGGGGAGCGA
This 729-nucleotide ribosomal RNA is filed under the name uncultured bacterium. Its description in RNAcentral is "bacterial SSU rRNA". It matches the Rfam family "Bacterial small subunit ribosomal RNA", at positions 43 to 771 of the family's 1533-position model. The record is from RNAcentral.